This is a long non-coding RNA of Nanorana parkeri, 868 nucleotides long. RefSeq lists it as uncharacterized. The record is from RefSeq and is a predicted model, not a curated record. The transcript has 3 exons. NCBI's taxonomy places the organism in Eukaryota, Metazoa, Chordata, Amphibia, Anura, Dicroglossidae.
UCCCCUAGACUUAUACAGCGGACACAUUGGGCAGACACAGAGGUAGGUAUUCCUAGCAUAGCCUAGACACGAAAACCAGGGGAAAAACUUGGGACUAGGAAUCUCCAUAUCGGAGAUGAGCCCUACACUAUUAAUUCCCCUUUCCACUAACCGGCUUGUAAUACAUAAACCUGUUAUAUUGUUGUAUUUAGGUAAAGCCUGUUAAACAUGUCAUGUCAAUGUAUCACGCAUUGUAGACCACCAAACCAUGUAUAAUCAUUGUAAUAAGCAUCAUCAAGGCAAGUGCAUAACAGCGUCAACUAAUGAGUUCAUGGAAAGAAAAAAAAAAUAAACUGCCUUCUUAUAUAAUCAAUAGACGGGCAGAAUAUAUAUAUUUAUUUAUUAUAAAAUGUAAUAUCCACAUUGAUAACAUCAGACAGGUUAAAAUGUCACUUUCCCUGGAAAAGUGUGCGGAGCCAGUCUACUUGCCAUUUGCAAAACCAAUGAGUUUCAGAUGACAUUCCACCUCUUCAUUGUUGCAUUUGUGGGUGCAGCUGCAGCUCUUGUGGCUCUGCUCACUUAUAUGAUAGGGGCAGCUUUCAACUAUGCUGUGCUUCGAGUUACUGGCCAGGCCGGUCGUUCAAAGUUUUAAGCUCCGAGCUGGGGGACUAAGUACAAACUGUCUUCAAACUAUGUUCGUAAUCUCAUCGUUUAAUUCCUCUUCUCUUAAUGGACUCAUAAUAAUAUGGAUAGCGCUUUUCCAUAGCUGGUCUGCCCUUUGUAUCCAGCUUUCAACGUCCUAUUGGCGUAGAUAAAUUUCAUCUCUACGUCGAAGCACUGUAUACCUAAAGAUCGAGGUUCUUCGGCUCAUGUCACUGAAGCAAUGGAC